AUUGAACGCUGGCGGAAUGCUUUACACAUGCAAGUCGAACGGCAGCACGGACUUCGGUCUGGUGGCGAGUGGCGAACGGGUGAGUAAUGUAUCGGAACGUGCCCAGUCGUGGGGGAUAACGUAGCGAAAGCUACGCUAAUACCGCAUACGAUCUAUGGAUGAAAGCGGGGGAUCGCAAGACCUCGCGCGAUUGGAGCGGCCGAUAUCAGAUUAGGUGGUUGGUGAGGUAAAGGCUCACCAAGCCGACGAUCUGUAGCUGGUCUGAGAGGACGACCAGCCACACUGGGACUGAGACACGGCCCAGACUCCUACGGGAGGCAGCAGUGGGGAAUUUUGGACAAUGGGCGCAAGCCUGAUCCAGCAAUGCCGGGUGCAGGAUGAAGGCCUUCGGGUUGUAAACUGCUUUUGUACGGAACGAAACGGCGAGCUCUAAUACAGUUUGCUAAUGACGGUACCGUAAGAAUAAGCACCGGCUAACUACGUGCCAGCCGCCGCCGUAA
This 500-nucleotide ribosomal RNA is filed under the name uncultured bacterium. RNAcentral's name for it is "partial 16S ribosomal RNA". It matches the Rfam family "Bacterial small subunit ribosomal RNA", at positions 30 to 523 of the family's 1533-position model. The record is from RNAcentral.